Molecule: ribosomal RNA, 136 nt
Filed under: Mustela putorius furo (domestic ferret)
Lineage: Eukaryota; Metazoa; Chordata; Mammalia; Carnivora; Mustelidae
Source: RNAcentral
CUACGGCCAUACCACCCUGAACGUGCCUGAUCUCGUCUGAUCCCGGAAGCUAAGCAGGAUCGGGCCUGGUUAGUACUUGGAUGGGAUAAUGGGACUUCUUUUCUCAUAGAUAUCACUUUGGAAAAUGUUGCUGUAG